CCUACGGGAGGCAGCAGUGAGGAAUAUUGGUCAAUGGGCGGAAGCCUGAACCAGCCAAGUAGCGUGCAGGAUGACGGCCCUACGGGUUGUAAACUGCUUUUAUACGGGAAUAACGCGCCUUACGUGUAGGGCUUUGCAUGUACCGUAUGAAUAAGGACCGGCUAAUUCCGUGCCAGCAGCCGCGGUAAUACGGAAGGUCCGGGCGUUAUCCGGAUUUAUUGGGUUUAAAGGGAGCGUAGGCCGCAUGUCAAGCGUGCUGUGAAAUGGCCGGGCUCAACCCGGGCCUUGCAGCGCGAACUGGCGAGCUUGAGUCCGCGGAAGGCAGGUGGAAUUCGACGUGUAGCGGUGAAAUGCGUAGAGAUGACGAAGAACCCCGAUUGCGAAGGCAGCUUGCUGCAGCGGAACUGACGCUGAGGCUCGAAAGCGUGGGUAUCGAACAGGAUUAGAUACCCUAGUAGUC
RNAcentral lists this ribosomal RNA (460 nucleotides) under uncultured bacterium. Its description in RNAcentral is "partial 16S ribosomal RNA". It matches the Rfam family "Bacterial small subunit ribosomal RNA", at positions 338 to 795 of the family's 1533-position model. The record is from RNAcentral.